UGCCAGCAGCCGCGGUAACACGAACUGUGCGAACGUUAUUCGGAAUCACUGGGCUUAAAGAGUGCGUAGGCGGCCUCGCAGGUUGGGUGUGAAAUCCCUCGGCUCAACCGAGGAACUGCGCUCAAAACCGCUAGGCUUGAGUGAGAUAAGGGAGAGCGGAACUAAUGGUGGAGCGGUGAAAUGCGUUGAUAUCAUUAGGAACACCAGUGGCGAAGGCGGCUCUCUGGGUCUCUACUGACGCUGAGAUGCGAAAGCGUGGGGAGCAAACAGGAUUAGAUA
RNAcentral lists this ribosomal RNA (279 nucleotides) under uncultured bacterium. RNAcentral's name for it is "partial 16S ribosomal RNA". It matches the Rfam family "Bacterial small subunit ribosomal RNA", at positions 506 to 784 of the family's 1533-position model. The record is from RNAcentral.